UUGAACGCUGGCGGCAGGCCUAACCCAUGCAAGUCGAGCGGAUGAAGGGAGCUUGCUCCUGGAUUCAGCGGCGGACGGGUGAGUAAUGCCUAGGAAUCUGCCUGGUAGUGGGGGAUAACGUCCGGAAACGGGCGCUAAUACCGCAUACGUCCUGAGGGAGAAAGUGGGGGAUCUUCGGACCUCACGCUAUCAGAUGAGCCUAGGUCGGAUUAGCUAGUUGGUGGGGUAAAGGCCUACCAAGGCGACGAUCCGUAACUGGUCUGAGAGGAUGAGCAGUCACACUGGAACUGAGACACGGUCCAGACUCCUACGGGAGGCAGCAGUGGGGAAUAUUGGACAAUGGGCGAAAGCCUGAUCCAGCCAUGCCGCGUGUGUGAAGAAGGUCUUCGGAUUGUAAAGCACUUUAAGUUGGGAGGAAGGGCAGUAAGUUAAUACCUUGCUGUUUUGACGUUACCAACAGAAUAAGCACCGGCUAACUUCGUG
RNAcentral lists this ribosomal RNA (483 nucleotides) under uncultured bacterium. RNAcentral's name for it is "partial 16S ribosomal RNA". It matches the Rfam family "Bacterial small subunit ribosomal RNA", at positions 30 to 507 of the family's 1533-position model. The record is from RNAcentral.